This 253-nucleotide ribosomal RNA is filed under the name uncultured bacterium. Its description in RNAcentral is "partial 16S ribosomal RNA". It matches the Rfam family "Bacterial small subunit ribosomal RNA", at positions 524 to 776 of the family's 1533-position model. The record is from RNAcentral.
UACAGAGGGUGCGAGCGUUAAUCGGAAUUACUGGGCGUAAAGCGUGCGUAGACGGUUAUUUAAGUCAGAUGUGAAAGCCCCGGGCUCAACCUGGGAAUUGCAUUUGAGACUGAAUAGCUAGGGUGCGGUAGAGGGAAGCGGAAUUUCCGGUGUAGCGGUGAAAUGCGUAGAUAUCGGAAGGAACAUCAGUGGCGAAAGCGGCUUGCUGGGCUUGGUCUGACGCUGAGGCGCGAAAGCGUGGGGAGCGAACAGG